CUAUUAGACGGAUAGCUUGGCUUGAAUAGCGAAGAAGGACGUGGCAAGCUGCGAUAAGCUUGGGCGAGCCGCAUGCGGGCUUUGAACCUAAGAUCUCCUAAUGUGAAACAUGAAUUUCAUUCCGAAAGGAAAGCUGACGCCGGGAAUUGAAACAUCUUAGUACCGGCAGGAAAAGAAAACAAGUUAGUGAUUUCCCCAGUAGCAGCGAGCGAAAAGGAAGAAGGGCGAACCGAAUCUUUGCUUGAAAAGGCGUAAGAGAUGUGGUGAGAUUGAGGCUAAGUCAACGAAUUGAAUUUGCCUGGAAAGGUAAACCUUGGAGGGUGAGAGUCCCGUAGAUGAAGUUGAUAUGUCGUGUCUCGAAUGAGUAGGGCCUCUCGGAUUAGGGGCCUGAAUAUGGUAGAAUUAACUACUAACCCUAAAUAUUGAUUCAAGUCCGAUAGCGUAAUAGUACCGCGAGGGAAAGCUGAAAAGUACUCUCACAAGAGGGUUAAAAGACUUGAAAUCUAAUAGUUACAAGAUUGCUACUGCUCUACGGAGUUGUAGCGUACGUUUUGGAAAACGGGCCGGGGAGUUUUUCUUUGUGGCAAGGUUAAUUAAAUGAAGCCGAAGCGAAAGCAAGUAUGAAAAUGCGUUAGUCACUGAGAGAAGACCUGAAGCCAGAUGAUCUAGUCCUGAGCAGGAUGAAGUUUUUCGAAAGAGAAAUGGAGGUCCGAACUAGUGCUGUGUACAUGCGCUUGGAUGACUUGGGAUUAGGGGUGAAAAGCCACUCGAAUCUGGCCAUGGCUGGUUCCUGUUGAAAUAUGCCAGGGUAUAGUCUUGUAUUGUUUGUCGACGAGGUAAAGUACGGAUAAGUCUUGCAGAGGCAAAUGCCUACGGGGAAUUUUCCAACUCAGAACUUGUCGACUGCUGAGUACAAGAUACAGCUGGUGUAUGUAAGAUACAUCAACGAGACCCGAACAAGGGAGACCAAAGUUAAGGUCCCAAAAUAUUCAUUAAGUGUAACGAAAGGAGUUUUUAUUCUGAGACAGUGGGGAUGUAGGUCUAGAAGCCGCCAUCAUUUAAAGAAAGCGUAACAGCUCACCUAUCGAGAAUAAAAGCCCUGAAGAUGGACGGGGCUAAAUGAAUUACCGACACUUUGGAGGUUAUCUGUAAAGAUAACUCUGGUAAACAGGCGUAUUAUUUGCGUAGAAGUUUUUACGUAAGUAGGGAUGGAGCGAAUAUUAGUGAUCAUCCCGGCGAUAGUAGGAUCUGAUCUUCCUGAAAACCGGAAGAUGGCGUAAGGGCAAGGUUUCCUUGGCACUAACAAUUAGCCAAGGGUUAGUCGGUUCCUAAGUUAUACCUUAACUGAGUAUAGCGAUGGACAGCUGGUUAAUAUUCCAGCACUUUUUAUUUUUGUUAAGUUCUUAAAAGCUUUCGGAUAAGUAGAGUAUCGAGAGAUAUAGCACGAGAGAAAUAAUUGGAUUGUAAUGAUGAGAAUUUUAUGAAUCUCUGUGAAUCUGCUGAUUCCAAGAGCCAGUGAAAAAUUUGAGAAAUAGAAAAUAAUUAGCCGUACCGAGAUCUAGCACUGGUGCCCUAGUUGAGAAGACUAAGCCAUGAAAGGUUAAAUUAGUUAAGGGAAUUCGGCCGAGUUAGUCCCGUAUCUUAGGUAGAAGGGAUGUCUAUUUCUUUGUAUGAAUUUUUGUAUGGGGAAGUAGAUCUCAGUAACAAGGACGGUCCGACUGUUUACCAAAAACGUAGCUGAGUGCUAAUCCGAAAGGACUUGUAUACUCAGUGAAACCUGCCCAGUGGUGGUGUCCAAACCUCUCUUUCAAGGGAGUGAAGGCCCAUCAAACGGCGGGCGUAACUAUGACGCUCUUAAGGUAGCGUAAUGCCUUGUCGUCUGAAUGGCGACGUGCAUGAAUGGUUUAACGUGACUGUCACUGUCCCUAACUAAAGCCUUCCGAAACCACUCGACGGUGUACAGGCCGUCAUCACCUAGUGGGAAGCGAAGACCUUGUAGACCUUUACUGCAGCCUGUUGUUGUUAUUUUAUUGAGAGUGCUUAGCGUAGGUAGGAGCGUCGAAACUAUUUCUCUGGGAAUAGCGGAGCAAAAGUGUAACACUACCCAUUCUUGAUAAAAUAACUAACCUUUUUGGGACAGCAAUUGGUGGGCAGUUUGGCUGGGGCGGCACCCGGUCGAAAAUGUAUCGAUCGGGCCCAAAAACAAGCUCAUCCAGGUCGGAAAUCUGGAGUAGAGUGUAAAGGCAAAAGCUUGUUUGACUGUAUUUCGAAAAGCAAGAAAUGCAGGAGUGAAAGCUUGGCUUAGCGAACUUUCGUAGACUUUUAAUGGGUCUCGAAAAUGACAGAAAAGGUACCUCAAGGAUAACAGGCUUGUCGCCCCUAAUAGUUCACAUUGACGGGGCGGUUUGGUACAUCGCUGUCGGCUCUUCCUAUCCUGCGCGUGCAGAAGCGUGCAAGGGUGCCGGAGUUCACGCAUUAAAAGGGAUCGUUAGCUGGGUUAAGAACGUCGCGAGACAGUUUGUAUGAUAUCUACUAGGUGUGUUAUUGUCUGAGUGGAACUAGUAUCUAGUACGAGAGGAACGGUACUGGGAUGCCUCUGGUGUAUCGGUUGUCAUGUGGCAGGCCGAGCAGCUACGCAUUAUGUCGAUAAGCGCUGAAAGCAUCUAAGCGCGAAGCGACCCGCAAAACGAGACAAUUAAAGCCGUCAAAGAAGAUGACGUCGAUAGAGUUGGAGUGUACGCAUCAAGCCUCGGCGAGAUGUUCAGCUUGCAACUACUAAAAGCUUU
This 2786-nucleotide ribosomal RNA is filed under the name uncultured archaeon. RNAcentral describes it as "23S ribosomal RNA". It matches the Rfam family "Archaeal large subunit ribosomal RNA". The record is from RNAcentral.